GGGAAAUUAGAGCACCAUGAACUUGUGUCAGUUGCCGCUCCUCAACAAGGACCAACCUUAGAUUGUGGGAUCUUUGUGAUUGAAUUCAUUAAUAGCAUUGUCGAAAAGCGAUCGAUAACAAUCUCACAAGGAGAGUGUGCAAAAUACAGAGCAAAGUUUUGUGCAGCUCUCUUGUAUGCACGCAAUUCACCAUAUUUCUGACGAUUGUAAUUCACAAGGGUGGGUGUGAUUC
Molecule: long non-coding RNA, 232 nt
Organism: Asparagus officinalis (garden asparagus)
Lineage: Eukaryota; Viridiplantae; Streptophyta; Magnoliopsida; Asparagales; Asparagaceae
Exons: 3
Source: RefSeq, a predicted model, not a curated record